Helianthus annuus (common sunflower) is the source of this 404-nucleotide long non-coding RNA. RefSeq lists it as uncharacterized. The record is from RefSeq and is a predicted model, not a curated record. The transcript is spliced from 2 exons. NCBI's taxonomy places the organism in Eukaryota, Viridiplantae, Streptophyta, Magnoliopsida, Asterales, Asteraceae.
GGACUUUCGUGGUAAAGGGUUUUACGUAGGAAGCAUCCGCUCCCACCACUGUAAGCUUGUGGUUAGCAAUAGUGAAAAAUAGUUGUUGAUUUAGAGCAGCAUUAAUCACCCGAAUUAGGCUUGUUUCUCCUGGGUUGACUGAACUGUAGAAGCAGACCUUUGCUAGAGCAUUUAUAGAGAUCACCAGGUUGACCGUUAAUGGUAUACGCAUCAGAAACGUUUGGAGCUGCACCUGUUCUUGUGGCUUCUCGUACAACAUCUAUCGGGUUUGCAUCCCACCAUUCACCUGCCAUCGUCAUCAUCAUCAUAUUAGAUCACAUAUGUAAUAUUUUGGACUUCUGCUAAAUGUACAUUUUCUUUGCGAAUAAACUUUAUACCAAGAGUAAUGAGCGAUUCAUGGUCUG